This 884-nucleotide ribosomal RNA is filed under the name Tolypocladium reniformisporum. RNAcentral describes it as "partial large subunit ribosomal RNA". It matches the Rfam family "Eukaryotic large subunit ribosomal RNA", at positions 39 to 954 of the family's 3401-position model. Lineage: Eukaryota; Fungi; Ascomycota; Sordariomycetes; Hypocreales; Ophiocordycipitaceae. The record is from RNAcentral.
CAUAUCAAUAAGCGGAGGAAAAGAAACCAACAGGGAUUGCCCCAGUAACGGCGAGUGAAGCGGCAACAGCUCAAAUUUGAAAUCUGGCCCCCAGGGCCCGAGUUGUAAUUUGCAGAGGAUGCUUUUGGCGCGGCGCCUUCCGAGUUCCCUGGAACGGGACGCCAUAGAGGGUGAGAGCCCCGUCUGGUCGGACGCCAAGCCAGUGUAAAGCUCCUUCGACGAGUCGAGUAGUUUGGGAAUGCUGCUCUAAAUGGGAGGUAUAUGUCUUCUAAAGCUAAAUAUAGGCCAGAGACCGAUAGCGCACAAGUAGAGUGAUCGAAAGAUGAAAAGCACUUUGAAAAGAGGGUUAAACAGUACGUGAAAUUGUUGAAAGGGAAGCACUUGUGACCAGACUUGGGCCCGGUGAAUCAUCCAGCGUUCUCGCUGGUGCACUUCGCCGGGCUCAGGCCAGCAUCAGUUCGCCGCGGGGGACAAAAGCUUCGGGAACGUGGCUCCCUCGGGAGUGUUAUAGCCCGUUGCACAAUACCCUGCGGUGGACUGAGGUUCGCGCUCCGCAAGGAUGCUGGCGUAAUGGUCACCGGUGACCCGUCUUGAAACACGGACCAAGGAGUCGUCUUCGUAUGCGAGUGUUCGGGUGUCAAACCCCUACGCGUAAUGAAAGUGAACGCAGGUGAGAGCUUCGGCGCAUCAUCGACCGAUCCUGAUGUUCUCGGAUGGAUUCGAGUAAGAGCAUACGGGGCCGGACCCGAAAGAAGGUGAACUAUGCCUGUAUAGGGUGAAGCCAGAGGAAACUCUGGUGGAGGCUCGCAGCGGUUCUGACGUGCAAAUCGAUCGUCAAAUAUGGGCAUGGGGGCGAAAGACUAAUCGAACCUUCUAGUAGCUGG